RNAcentral lists this ribosomal RNA (495 nucleotides) under uncultured bacterium. Its description in RNAcentral is "partial 16S ribosomal RNA". It matches the Rfam family "Bacterial small subunit ribosomal RNA", at positions 28 to 507 of the family's 1533-position model. The record is from RNAcentral.
GAUGAACGCUGGCGGCGUGCCUAAUACAUGCAAGUAGAACGCUGAAGGAGGAGCUUGCUCUUCUGGAUGAGUUGCGAACGGGUGAGUAACGCGUAGGUAACCUGCCUGGUAGCGGGGGAUAACUAUUGGAAACGAUAGCUAAUACCGCAUGACAACAGUUAUUGCAUGAUAACUGUUUAAAAGGGGCAACUGCUCCACUACCAGAUGGACCUGCGUUGUAUUAGCUAGUUGGUGAGGUAACGGCUCACCAAGGCGACGAUACAUAGCCGACCUGAGAGGGGGAUCGGCCACACUGGGACUGAGACACGGCCCAGACUCCUACGGGAGGGAGCAGUAGGGAAUCUUCGGCAAUGGACGGAAGUCUGAACGAGCAACGCCGCGGGAGUGAAGAAGGGUUUCGGAUCGUAAAGCUCGGUUGUAAGGGAAGAACGAGUGUGAGAGUGGAAAGUUCACACUGUGACGGUAUCUUACCAGAAAGGGACGGCUAACUACGUG